UGUAAGCGUAUACCAAAGUUGUUGCGGUUAAAACGCUCGUAGUCGGAAUUUGGCAGUUCCGGAUGUGUGCACGUCGUGUGCGCACUUCGCGGGGAUUGCUUUUGUGGUCUUGCGUAGGAUGAGGCACUUUUAUUAGUGAACGUCCUCACGCAACCACUUUUUACUGUGAGAAAAUCAGAGUGCCCAAAGCAGGCAUUUGCCGUGAAUGUAUUAGCAUGGAAUAAUAGAAUAGGACUCGGUUCUAUUUUGUUGGUUUGUUGGGACUGAGUAAUGAUUAAGAGGGACAGUUGGGGGCAUUUGUAUUUCGGCGCUAGAGGUGAAAUUCUUAGAUUGCCGAAAGACAAACUGCUGCGAAAGCGUCUGCCAAGGAUGUUUUCAUUGA
Molecule: ribosomal RNA, 382 nt
Filed under: uncultured eukaryote
Lineage: Eukaryota
Description: partial 18S ribosomal RNA
Rfam family: Eukaryotic small subunit ribosomal RNA
Source: RNAcentral